Gekko japonicus is the source of this 778-nucleotide long non-coding RNA. RefSeq lists it as uncharacterized. The record is from RefSeq and is a predicted model, not a curated record. NCBI's taxonomy places the organism in Eukaryota, Metazoa, Chordata, Lepidosauria, Squamata, Gekkonidae. The transcript has 3 exons.
CCUUCACGCCUGGGCUGCCGCCGCCCGCCGCCCGCCGCCGCCUCCGACAGGCCUCGGCCGCGUUGGUCCUUCUCGGGGCUGCGUGCCGCCCUCGGGUGGCGGAACAGGCUCUCGCGAGGAAGCCCUCCUGGCCAGUGAGGGAACAGUGCGAGCGAGCUCACAGUCUUUUAGAUGUGGACAGAUCCCUAGAUGAAAACAGAUGACAGAAACUUCCUUUCCUAAGAAGAACGUCUUCCAAACAUGAAGAUAUCCUUCAUGAAAUGUAUCGCAUUUAUUCUUUGGCUACCAAUUGCCCUCGGAGGACCGGCUUAAAAGCAUCCCAUAUGAUAGAUGGACUAACAUCAUCUGUUAUAUUUUCCUCAAAAUACGUUUUAAUAGCUGUUUCCAUCUCUAUAGCACAUUCUUGAUUUUCUAAUAAAUAUUUCUGCAAGACCCAUGUUAUCUGUUUUUUAUCUGCAUUUAACUCAAAUGUGCAUUCUACCCAAUUAUGAUCUGACCAUUGUAAAGUACCAAUGGUUGAAGAUUGCACUUUAGCUAACAACGCUGGGGAUAUUAAAAUAUAAUCUAUACGUGUGUAAAUCUUAUGAACUUGUGAAAAGUAUGUAUAAUCCCUUUCCCCUCUAUGAAGCUGCCUCCACACAUCUAUAAGGUUAUACUGUUCCAAUAAAUCUGCUAAUGGGGAUGGUUUAGAAAUUGCCUUCCUUUUUUUAUUCUGUUUUCUACUAUCAUAAGAUCUGUCUAAAGCAGAAUUUACAAUAAAAUUUAGAUCCCCACCAAU